GAUGAAGAACGUAGCGAAAUGCGAUAAGUAGUGUGAAUUGCAGAAUUCAGUGAAUCAUCGAAUCUUUGAACGCACAUUGCGCCCGCCAGUAUUCUGGCGGGCAUGCCUGUUCGAGCGUCAUUUCAACCAUCAAGCCCCAGGCUUGUGUUGGGGACCUGCGGCUGCCGCAGGCCCUGAAAACCAGUGGCGGGCUCGCUGUCACACCGGGCGUAGUAGAUUUUAUCUCGCUCAGGGCGUGCUGCGGGUUCCGGCCGUUAAAAAGCCUUUUUUACCCAAGGUUGACCUCGGAUCAGGUAGGAAGACCCGCUGAACUUAAGCAUAUCAAAAGCGGAGGA
Molecule: unclassified non-coding RNA, 335 nt
Filed under: soil metagenome
Description: partial contains 5.8S ribosomal RNA, internal transcribed spacer 2, and large subunit ribosomal RNA
Rfam family: 5.8S ribosomal RNA (bases 1-120)
Source: RNAcentral